GACGAACGCUGGCGGCGUGCUUAACACAUGCGAGUCGAACGAAAAGGCCCUGCUUUUGUGGGGUGCUCGAGUGGCGAACGGGUGAGUAACACGUGAGUAACCUGCCCUUGACUUUGGGAUAACUUCAGGAAACUGGGGCUAAUACCGGAUAGGAGCUCCUGCUGCAUGGUGGGGGUUGGAAAGUUUCGGCGGUUGGGGAUGGACUCGCGGCUUAUCAGCUUGUUGGUGGGGUAGUGGCUUACCAAGGCUUUGACGGGUAGCCGGCCUGAGAGGGUGACCGGCCACAUUGGGACUGAGAUACGGCCCAGACUCCUACGGGAGGCAGCAGUGGGGAAUAUUGCACAAUGGGCGGAAGCCUGAUGCAGCAACGCCGCGUGCGGGAUGACGGCCUUCGGGUUGUAAACCGCUUUCGCCUGUGACGAAGCGUGAGUGACGGUAAUGGGUAAAGAAGCACCGGCUAACUACGUG
Molecule: ribosomal RNA, 468 nt
Filed under: uncultured bacterium
Lineage: Bacteria
Description: partial 16S ribosomal RNA
Rfam family: Bacterial small subunit ribosomal RNA
Source: RNAcentral